GCUAUCAUCAGUCUAAAUUACAGAACUGUUGAAUAUGAACAAAUUCAUGGAGAGUCCAUAAACACCAUAUUCCAAUCAAACUCACACAAAGAAUUGCUUACUGUACAAGAAAGAAUUUUACAAACCACGUGUAAACACCAACACUCAGUUCAGGUGAUCAUGACCACCACCGCCACCAGUCUUGAGGAGCGUUAUCCUUUGAGAUUUUGAAUGGCUUUGUCGGUUGUUAAGAACGUCUAUAUAUGUUCUAAGCCUAUAUCGAUCCGAAUUUGUGAUCGAGAACGGAGGAUUAAGAAUCAGUGAAGGUGCUUCCACCAGAAGAAAGGUUAACAAACGCACCGCUUUUGAAUAGAACCCUGCUGCGUUGUCAGUAAAUCCCAUGCACUCAUCCACCUGCCAAAUGCACACGACACCCAUAUAUCAAAGAUUCAAGUGCCAUUGCACAGUUGAGCUCAUGGGCGUAGCUUUGUGGGGGCGGCCGACCCCCCGAACUUUUCACUCAAUAGUGGAGAGUAUGUAGUUUUCGUAUAGAAAUUUUUGGGUAUAUACGUUUUUGACCCCCCGGUUUUAUAGAAAUUUUUGGUAUAUACGUCUUCGGCCCCCCGGUCGGAAAUCUCAAGCUUCGCCACUGGUUGAGCUCAACAUAAAGUUUUAUCUAUGACAAAAAUAUCUGAUAGAGUAAAAUGCCAUUUUCGUCCUUGAGCCAUGUGUGAAUUGAGAAAAAGUCAAACACAAACCCUAAUUUUGACUAUUGGAGUUGAAGUCAACAGGAUCAGCUAGUGGUUUGUUUGUGUGUGUAUGUAUUUACAGAGGAUUUGUAUCUAUAGUGAUUGAUUGGAGAAAUUUGUCUGGUGUGAUUAGUGUUUUGGGGUGAAAUUGAUUUUUAGAUGAUUGAUUUGAGUGUGUGUGUGUGUGUGUGUGUUUUGUGUUGUGUUUGUUGGAAGGUUUUUCAGGUGGUGUAAGCUAAUGUGCGCCGUGGGCGUUAUGCGCACAGUGGUGUUCUUGUACAUG
RNAcentral lists this long non-coding RNA (1011 nucleotides) under Helianthus annuus (common sunflower). RNAcentral describes it as "hypothetical non coding rna". The record is from RNAcentral. Lineage: Eukaryota; Viridiplantae; Streptophyta; Magnoliopsida; Asterales; Asteraceae.